UUAUUAUACAUUGAAUAAGCAGUGUUGUAACUGUUGUGUUUUUGACAUUCAUUUAUUAGCUUUUGGGGUUAUUCGUAGAAAUACUUUAAGUAAUACUUAAAUAAUGUUUUUUUUAAAGCAGAUUUACAAAUAUAGUGCCUUACUCUAGUCUAAGCAUUAUAUUUGUCUCUCAUUUAAUUAUUCUAUAUCUAUGAAUAUAUGUAUACACAUGCAGUCAAACCUAAUACUACUGUAUUUAAUAGAAGUUUGCAAGUUGUGCAGACGCGUGCGCCCUUUAACUUUAACUCUACAUAUUCCGCGAGUCAUAUGCGUAUUUUCGAUCAACAGCGAUUCGUCAUGCUACUUUCAAAAGUGCAUCUGAAUCGAUACGGAAGGUGCUGUGUAUAUGCGCGCAUCGUCAGGCGUUCAUGAAGAUGUAUCUUCGUAUCGAUAUUUUGAACACAGCACUACUGUUUAUGCAUAACUAAUACAGUUUUAUUUUCAAAGGUAACUGAGAAGAUAAUUUUGCCAAUCAUUUUAACAUUUACAUUUUCCUUUGUCUGUGUGCCACUGCCUCGACCUCCCCAUUAUUAGCCUAUAGUGCAGGGUACCUGAGUUCGUUGAGUUUCGUGAUGCACACCUUCAAGUAUCUAUGUACUUAAAAAAUAAAUGUAUUCAUUUUAAUUCCUUGCAUUUAAUUUCAAUUUAUAUUUUUGUAAUGUACAAAUAAAAAAAUUACAUUUUAAAAACUGUUUAAUUAGAAAAAUGAACAUCUGCGUCAAUGAUGUUUCCUUAUCUCAAGUGGAAUGACUGGCCAAAUUAAAGGUCAUUGGCCCUAGUUUGGGCACCUCUAAAUUAAAGGGAUAGUUCCCCCCAAAAUGGUCAUAAUUUACUCACUCUAAUGUUGUUACAAACCUGGAUGAAUUUCUUUGUUCUGAUGAACACAAAGGAAGAUAUUUUGAGUAAUGUUUGUUUGUAACCAAAUCAAUUUGAGGCCCCAUUGACUUCUAGUAUUCUUUUUCCUAUUAUGGAAGUCAAUGGGGCCUCUGAUCAGUUUGGUUACUCUGAUCAGUUUGGUUACAAACAUUACUCAAAAUAUCUUCCUUUGUGUUCAUCAGCACAAAUAAAUGAUGCAAGUUUGUAACAACAGGAGAGUGGGUCAAUUUCCCGAAUUUUAUUUUUGGGUGAACUAUCCCUUUAAGCAAGUGAAUGUAAACAAAACAGGUUCUGUUUUAUUUGGCUUACCUUUCAUUGCUUUGCAGUUGAGUGUGAAUCAUCCACUAUCUGAAACAGAAGUGUAUGGAGUGUUGAGGUUGAUGAUGACAAGGUGAUGACACUGUACAAAGGAGCUUCCAUUGCCUUUAUUGCGACUGACAAUAUUGUCUGCAAACCCUUCUCCAAAUAUUAAGUCUUAUUCUAUUACAACAUUGCCACCUGCCAGCAACCAAAUAUCUGUUUAAAAAUAUAUUGUCCAUUUUUGUAAAAAGAUAAUUUUGUCAAAAUAAAGAUUAAAAAAAUCUGCUACCACA
Non-coding RNA from Misgurnus anguillicaudatus (oriental weatherfish), 1508 nucleotides. Lineage: Eukaryota; Metazoa; Chordata; Actinopteri; Cypriniformes; Cobitidae. The record is from RefSeq and is a predicted model, not a curated record.